UGUCGUCAGCUCGUGUCGUGAGAUGUUGGGUUAAGUCCCGCAACGAGCGCAACCCCCUUUCUUAGUUGCUAACAGGUCAUGCUGAGAACUCUAAGGAUACUGCCUCCGUAAGGAGGAGGAAGGUGGGGACGACGUCAAGUCAUCAUGGCCCUUACGCCUAGGGCUACACACGUGCUACAAUGGGGUGCACAAAGAGAAGCAAUACUGCGAAGUGGAGCCAAUCUUCAAAACGCCUCUCAGUUCGGAUUGUAGGCUGCAACUCGCCUGCAUGAAGCUGGAAUCGCUAGUAAUCGCAAAUCAGCCAUGUUGCGGUGAAUACGUUCCCGGGUCUUGUACUCACCGCCCGUCACACCAUGGGAGUUGUGUUUGCCUUAAGUCAGGAUGCUAAAUUAGCUACUGCCCACGGCACACACAGCGACUGGGGUGAAGUCGUAACAAGGUAACCGUAGGUGAACCUGCGGUUGGAUCACCUCCUUUCUA
Molecule: ribosomal RNA, 480 nt
Filed under: Helicobacter pylori
Lineage: Bacteria; Pseudomonadati; Campylobacterota; Epsilonproteobacteria; Campylobacterales; Helicobacteraceae
Description: bacterial SSU rRNA
Rfam family: Bacterial small subunit ribosomal RNA
Source: RNAcentral